UCUUCCAUUCAUCUGACCUAAUUCAUCAGCAACUGUUCCUCUUCUUCUCACCUACCUUCUCCCUCAUCUCAUCUCUCUCACCUACCUUCAUCUCCCUCAUGUUUCGCAUCUCAUCUCUCACAUUCCUUCACGCUCAUCUCUCACCUUAAUUACGUCAUCUAUCUCGUCUCCUUCCACUUGCAAAUCUACGAAGGAACACCCCACCUUCCUUCAUCUCGUCUCUCCUUCCACCUGCAAAUCUACGAAGGGCGCCAAAAGUGAAGGCAUCUCUCUCAACUCUCCGUCGCAUCAAGCACUGAGCGAUAAUCCCUAGUUCGUCUCUCUUUCUCUCCUUCACCUAGUGAGUCUAAUUCCAGAUUUAAUCGCUCUGCUAAAAGAAAAACCCCAUCUCUUAAUUUGAGAAAAGAUGAAUUGGAAAAACGUUUAAGAGAUAGAAUGCUUACUCAACAGCAACUCAAUGAAAUUGAAGCAUCCAGCAACGAAAUUGAAGUAGCCAGCAACGAAAUUGAAGCAGCGAGCAACGAAAGGACAACACUUUCCUCAGAUCUAAAGGUUGCAUAGUGGAUGAGUUCUUAUAUUAGUUGAAUUUUGUUUUAGUUUAUAUUAGUUACAUUUUGUUUUUUCUGUUUCUCCUAAUGUAUCAAAAAAAAAUCCAGAAUUCCAGAGCGUUAAGUAGCGAGUAGUGCAAUGAAUUUAUUUUUUUAUUUUUUUAGUUUAUUUUUCAUUUUUUAGGUUUGGGUACUCCUUUAUAUUUUUUGUACACAUAAAUUCCAGAACAUUAAUUGAUCCUUGUUUUA
Molecule: long non-coding RNA, 797 nt
Organism: Beta vulgaris subsp. vulgaris (sugar beet)
Lineage: Eukaryota; Viridiplantae; Streptophyta; Magnoliopsida; Caryophyllales; Amaranthaceae
Exons: 2
Source: RefSeq, a predicted model, not a curated record